UACGAAGGGGGCUAGCGUUGCUCGGAAUAACUGGGCGUAAAGGGUGCGUAGGCGGGUCUUUAAGUCAGGGGUGAAAUCCUGGAGCUCAACUCCAGAACUGCCUUUGAUACUGAGGAUCUUGAGUUCGGGAGAGGUGAGUGGAACUGCGAGUGUAGAGGUGAAAUUCGUAGAUAUUCGCAAGAACACCAGUGGCGAAGGCGGCUCACUGGCCCGAUACUGACGCUGAGGCACGAAAGCGUGGGGAGCAAACAGG
RNAcentral lists this ribosomal RNA (253 nucleotides) under uncultured bacterium. Its description in RNAcentral is "partial 16S ribosomal RNA". It matches the Rfam family "Bacterial small subunit ribosomal RNA", at positions 524 to 776 of the family's 1533-position model. The record is from RNAcentral.